AAUGUGUUACUGCCCCCUUUUUAGACAUCUGGUAGUGAUUAAAUGUGAGUAUAAAGCAGAGAUGAAGUGUGCUUGGACUACAGAAAGCAGCAGGAUGAAGAGUAGUGUGCAGCUAGGGCUGUUGUGUCUCAGCCUGCUCAUCUCCAGUCUUCAUGGAGAAGAAGAAGUCGAGACAGAUUCAAGCAUGCACAUCCCAAUUAAGUUUGAUGAGCCGGAUCUUCAUCAGUUUGAGAUGUACAGAGUACGAAGACAGACGGUCUCCACAGAGAAGGAAAAUACAGCAAAGACAGUAGCUGUUGUGCCACCAAGUGAGAACAGCAAGACUAAGAGAAAACGGCCACGUCCAGGAGGUCUUACUCCUUUAGGAGACAGUGGAGAUCCGACGGUAUUCACUGUCCUCUGUCAGUUCAUUCAAAAUAAAUGGUGAAAUAAUACAUAGGAUAUAUAUACUGUAAAUAGAGAAAAAUGUUGAGUACAUGCUUCACCAGUUACAUGAUUUUCUAAUCUAAAAAUAUAUUGACUUGCCUUACACUGAAUUCAUCAUUUGGUUUUCUCGGUUCA
Molecule: long non-coding RNA, 561 nt
Filed under: Sinocyclocheilus anshuiensis
Lineage: Eukaryota; Metazoa; Chordata; Actinopteri; Cypriniformes; Cyprinidae
Description: lncRNA (ENSSANG00000012960.1)
Source: RNAcentral